This is a small nucleolar RNA of Apteryx haastii (Great spotted kiwi), 69 nucleotides long. The record is from Ensembl. Lineage: Eukaryota; Metazoa; Chordata; Aves; Apterygiformes; Apterygidae.
GGUGAAAAUGAUGAAUUCUGGGGUACUGAUCCAUGUGACCUGAAAAAGCCAUCCAUUUCCUGAUUCACC